Molecule: small RNA, 675 nt
Filed under: Rattus norvegicus (Norway rat)
Lineage: Eukaryota; Metazoa; Chordata; Mammalia; Rodentia; Muridae
Description: uncharacterized LOC102548472
Source: RNAcentral
UUCAAGGCCUUCCCUGACAGAGCCCGCCCCUCGCAGGCCUGGAGGUUUCUCUGCAAAGGAAACAAACAUUCAAACCUCCGAAUGGCGUGGGUCUUCUCUAGGGUGUGUGCCUGUCAACAAGUCACCAGUUCUGGAAGAGCUAAGGGGAAUGUGAAGAGAAAACCCUGUUACACAGAGGAUGAAUUGAUUUAUGCAGACAGUUUAAAGGGUGUUCGCAGCUCUGAGGAAUGCAAGCGGCAGCAUGAUUUGAAGAGAUAACUACUAACCUGAGCUCAGAGUUUAUCAUUCCGGUUCAUUGAACAAAAGAGUCAUGGGACCAAAGAGAUGGCUCAGCAGUCUCUGCUGGCAAAUCUGCUGUCUAGACAUCCAAGUUUCUCUUGAUGAACGUUGUUUGCUCCGACUUCUUCUCCAGCAUAAACAAGGUUGGCAUGAACUCCCCUGUCGUGUCUUACUAUGCUCAUGAAAAACCUUUCACUCAGGACUGGAAAGAUUUUGGAAUUUCAGGCACAAAAGCCUCUACUUAAUAUUUUUUGAUGCAAGAUUCGAUCACAGCCAGGCCAUUUCUUUGGUUUUUUUCAACCUGUUAAACAUGUACACAGUGAUUUCCACCACUCUCACCAGAAAUGCUCUGAAGAAGGACAAUUCGGUUCUAAAUAAAAGCACUUUUUGAUCAUC